This 247-nucleotide ribosomal RNA is filed under the name uncultured bacterium. RNAcentral describes it as "partial 16S ribosomal RNA". It matches the Rfam family "Bacterial small subunit ribosomal RNA", at positions 1253 to 1500 of the family's 1533-position model. The record is from RNAcentral.
AAUAGUGAUAUGGAGCAAAACCCUAAAAGACGGUCUCAGUUCGGAUUGAAGGCUGAAAUUCGCCUUCAUGAAGCUGGAAUUGCUAGUAAUGGCAGGUCAGCAUACUGCCGUGAAUACGUUCCCGGGCCUUGUACACACCGCCCGUCACACCAUGAGAGUUGGAAAUACCCGAAGCCUGUGAGCUAACUUUUAGAGGCAGCAGUCGAAGGUAGAAUCAAUGAUUGGGGUGAAGUCGUAACAAGGUAAC